GGGCGGGGAGGGAGGCAGGGCGCGCCUCGCCUGCCGCCUGCCUCGGGGUGUCUGAUUCAGAAGGUCUGGGAUGGGGCCCAAGAAUUUGCAUUUCUAAGAAGUUUCCUGCCUCCGGGCUGCUACUGCAGCGGCUCAGGGGCCACACCUGGAGAAUCACUGUUCCAGAUGCUUCUCGGUAAAGGAAAAACGCCAAAUGGGGCUGCCACACCCUCCCUCCGAUGCAGGAGACAUCACCACCACCUCCACCGUUUAUCAGCGUGCUGCAAUCGCACAGACUGAAGGCCAAAUUCUUCCCAGAAGACGCACAGCACCGACUCCGUGUUGUUCUAGGGCCGAUGAGGGGCCGGAAGUGCAAAAGGACAAGACGCACAGAUCCAUCAGCAGCAUCAGAACGUGAAGGAGGCCCUGCGUCCUGUGGUGCAGACUUUCCCUGAAACAGACUCGCAAUUACACAACCUCACACGGGAAUCAACGGCAAGGAGCGCCUCCCUCUCCACUCCACAGAAAGAAAAGCCCUGACCGGUUUUGCUCACUGGAUAGAGUGUCGGCCUGCGGAC
This is a long non-coding RNA of Myotis lucifugus (little brown bat), 557 nucleotides long. RefSeq lists it as uncharacterized. The transcript is spliced from 3 exons. The record is from RefSeq and is a predicted model, not a curated record. NCBI's taxonomy places the organism in Eukaryota, Metazoa, Chordata, Mammalia, Chiroptera, Vespertilionidae.